GACGAAGGGGGCUAGCGUUGUUCGGAAUUACUGGGCGUAAAGCGAGUGUAGGUGGUUGUCCAAGUUGGAUGUGAAAGCCUUGAGCUCAACUCAAGAAAUGCAUUCAGGACUGGGCGGCUAGAGGACCGGAGAGGAUAGUGGAAUUCCCAGUGUAGUGGUGAAAUACGUAGAGAUUGGGAAGAACACCAGUGGCGGAGGCGGCUAUCUGGACGGUUUCUGACACUAAGACUCGAAAGCGUGGGGAGCAAACAGG
RNAcentral lists this ribosomal RNA (253 nucleotides) under uncultured bacterium. RNAcentral's name for it is "partial 16S ribosomal RNA". It matches the Rfam family "Bacterial small subunit ribosomal RNA", at positions 524 to 776 of the family's 1533-position model. The record is from RNAcentral.